UGGGGAAUAUUGGACAAUGGGCGAAAGCCUGAUCCAGCCAUGCCGCGUGUGUGAAGAAGGUCUUCGGAUUGUAAAGCACUUUAAGUUGGGAGGAAGGGCAGUAAGCGAAUACCUUGCUGUUUUGACGUUACCGACAGAAUAAGCACCGGCUAACUCUGUGCCAGCAGCCGCGGUAAUACAGAGGGUGCAAGCGUUAAUAGGAAUUACUGGGCGUAAAGCGCGCGUAGGUGGUUCGUUAAGUUGAAUGUGAAAGCCCCGGGCUCAACCUGAGAACUGCAUCCAAAACUGGCGAGCUAGAGUAGGGCAGAGGGUGGUGGAAUUUCCUGUGUAGCGGUGAAAUGCGUAGAUAUAGGAAGGAACACCAGUGGCGAAGGCGAACACCUGGGCUCAUACUGACACUGAGGUGCGAAAGCGUGGGGAGCAAACAGG
Molecule: ribosomal RNA, 429 nt
Filed under: Pseudomonadota bacterium
Lineage: Bacteria; Pseudomonadati; Pseudomonadota
Description: Proteobacteria bacterium partial 16S ribosomal RNA
Rfam family: Bacterial small subunit ribosomal RNA
Source: RNAcentral